CAGUCGCCACGGGAAUACAGAGGGUGCGAGCGUUAAUCGGAUUUACUGGGCGUAAAGCGUGCGUAGGCGGCUUCUUAAGUCGGAUGUGAAAUCCCUGAGCUUAACUUAGGAAUUGCAUUCGAUACUGGGAAGCUAGAGUAUGGGAGAGGAUGGUAGAAUUCCAGGUGUAGCGGUGAAAUGCGUAGAGAUCUGGAGGAAUACCGAUGGCGAAGGCAGCCAUCUGGCCUAAUACUGACGCUGAGGUACGAAAGCAUGGGGAGCAAACAGGAUUAGAUACCCCUGUAGUCCCUGUCUCUUAACA
Molecule: ribosomal RNA, 301 nt
Filed under: uncultured bacterium
Lineage: Bacteria
Description: partial 16S ribosomal RNA
Rfam family: Bacterial small subunit ribosomal RNA
Source: RNAcentral